UGGGGAAUAUUGCACAAUGGGGGGAACCCUGAUGCAGCGACGCCGCGUGAGUGAAGAAGUAUUUCGGUAUGUAAAGCUCUAUCAGCAGGGAAGAAGAUGACGGUACCUGCACAAGAAGCCCCGGCUAACUACGUGCCAGCAGCCGCGGUAAUACGUAGGGGGCAAGCGUUAUCCGGAUUUACUGGGUGUAAAGGGAGCGUAGACGGAAGGUCAAGUCAGGUGUGAAAGGCAUGGGCUCAACCCGUGGACUGCACUUGAAACUGGUCAUCUUGAGUGUCGGAGGGGCAGGCGGAAUUCCUGGUGUAGCGGUGAAAUGCGUAGAUAUCAGGAAGAACACCGGUGGCGAAGGCGGCCUGCUGGACGAUCACUGACGUUGAGGCUCGAAGGCGUGGGGAGCAAACAGG
This 404-nucleotide ribosomal RNA is filed under the name uncultured prokaryote. Its description in RNAcentral is "bacterial SSU rRNA". It matches the Rfam family "Bacterial small subunit ribosomal RNA", at positions 355 to 776 of the family's 1533-position model. The record is from RNAcentral. RNAcentral also lists the same sequence under 1 other name.